This 668-nucleotide ribosomal RNA is filed under the name Amolops mantzorum (Kangting sucker frog). RNAcentral's name for it is "partial 12S ribosomal RNA". It matches the Rfam family "Bacterial small subunit ribosomal RNA", at positions 608 to 1533 of the family's 1533-position model. The record is from RNAcentral. Lineage: Eukaryota; Metazoa; Chordata; Amphibia; Anura; Ranidae.
CUCAAGUUGAUAACCACCGGCGUUAAGCGUGAUUAAAGCUUACAUAAGUUAGGGUUAAACCAAUACUUAGUAGUGAUAAGCUUGUUAUUGAGAAAACCAUAAACGAAAGUUACCCUAAUUAUAAUACUUGAAUACACGACAGCUGGGAAGACAAACUAGGAUUAGAUACCCUACUAUGCUCAGCCGUAAACAAUUAAUUUACACCAAUCAGCGCCAGGGAAUUACGAGCCAUGCUUAAAACCCAAAGGACUUGACGGUGUCCCACCCCCCUAGAGGAGCCUGUUCUAUAAUCGAUAAUCCCCGCUAUACCCUACCAUUCCUCGCCUCAGUCUGUAUACCUCCGUCGAAAGCCUACCCUGUGAACGUCCAGUAAGCCCAAUGACCCCCCUCAACACGUCAGGUCAAGGUGCAGCUCACGGAAUGGAAAGUAAUGGGCUACAAUUUCUAACAUAGAACAAACGAAAGGCCAUGUGAAACCAUGGUCACGAAGGUGGAUCUAGCAGUAAAAAGAAAAUAGAGUGUUCUUUUUAACCCGGCUCUGGGACGCGUACACACCGCCCGUCACCCUCUUCGAUAGCUUUACUUCACGUUUAUAACCCUUUAUCCGCACCUUAGAAGAGGCAAGUCGUAACACGGUAAGUGUACUGGAAAGUGCACUUGGAUUACAA